Long non-coding RNA from Cephus cinctus (wheat stem sawfly), 728 nucleotides. RefSeq lists it as uncharacterized. The transcript has 3 exons. The record is from RefSeq and is a predicted model, not a curated record. Lineage: Eukaryota; Metazoa; Arthropoda; Insecta; Hymenoptera; Cephidae.
UUCCCAACUAGCAGACAAUAAAACUGCACGACUAGUUUCGCAAGCAAUAGUUAAAAAUACAUUGCGAGACUCCGUAGCAAUUCCUUCAAGAAAUUAACUUUGUCCGAUGCGGUCUUAGAAUUAGUUUUCUUUUUUUAUGGCCACGUGAUGAAAAUUAUUAUAGCCAUCUAAACGAAACGCAAAUGUGACAACUUGGUCGAGUAUGGUGGCCCAGUGAGGUUUUUGAUAUAUGAAUUGUCGCUCGCCUGUUUAAACUGUCUUUGGAAAUAAUUACUUUGAAAUACAACAGUGCGCAAUCAAUGGCUCGAAAUCACACGUUAUAUUACAUUAAUUAUACAUACCUGGUAUUCAAGUCGGGAUCCUUAUAUGUACUCAUAUAGAGGCCAUUGAGAACACCGCUCGAUAAAUUUCCAAUAAAUUUCAUGAUCCUCUUCCUCUUCGGUGGACAAUAUGGGAACGUUCGAUCCAUAAUCAUGACUUAAUACCGUCUCGGUUAUGUUUAACCAUUUUUGGUGUAAAAUUAAAGAAUUUCUUGGCGAAUGAACUUUUAUGGAAAUAUUGACAGUGCCAAAGAAAAUGCCAGCAUCCAAAUCGAUUGAUAAGUAUGUUAUCGUCUGUACCUCAAUAAUUUUGUUCUUAUCUUCGUCGCUCUUGCACGUCCGACUCUUCUCAGUGGCGUUGCUAUAUUUAGUUCCAAGUACAACCGUCGAAACGAAGAAACAAAACAG